RNAcentral lists this ribosomal RNA (479 nucleotides) under uncultured bacterium. Its description in RNAcentral is "partial 16S ribosomal RNA". It matches the Rfam family "Bacterial small subunit ribosomal RNA", at positions 28 to 507 of the family's 1533-position model. The record is from RNAcentral.
GAUGAACGCUAGCGGGAGGCCUAACACAUGCAAGCCGAGCGGUAUUUGUUCUUCGGAACAGAGAGAGCGGCGCACGGGUGCGGAACACGUGUGCAACCUGCCUUUAUCUUGGGGAUAGCCUUUCGAAAGGAAGAUUAAUACCCCCUAAUAUAUUGAGUGGCAUCCCUUGAUAUUUAAAACUCCGGUGGCUAGAGAUGGGCACGCGCAAGAUUAGAUAGUUGGUGAGGUAACGGCUCACCAAGUCAAUGAUCUUUAGGGGGCCUGAGAGGGUGAUCCCCCACACUGGUACUGAGACACGGACCAGACUCCUACGGGAGGCAGCAGUGAGGAAUAUUGGACAAUGGGUUAGCGCCUGAUCCAGCCAUCCCGCGUGAAGGACGACGGCCCUAUGGGUGGUAAACUUCUUUUGGAUAGGGAUAAACCUACUCUCGUGAGAGUAGCUGAAGGUACUAUACGAAUAAGCACCGGCUAACUCCGUG